CUCUCCCUCAAAGGCUUCUG
This 20-nucleotide microRNA is filed under the name Cucumis melo (muskmelon). RNAcentral's name for it is "cme-miR477b". Its record names the gene cme-miR477b. The record is from miRBase by way of RNAcentral. Lineage: Eukaryota; Viridiplantae; Streptophyta; Magnoliopsida; Cucurbitales; Cucurbitaceae.